CCUACGGGUGGCUGCAGUGGGGAAUAUUGGACAAUGGGGGGAACCCUGAUCCAGCCAUGCCGCGUGUGUGAAGAAGGCCCUCGGGUUGUAAAGCACUUUCAGUGAGGAAGAACGCCUGGUGGUUAAUACCCAUCAGGAAAGACAUCACUCACAGAAGAAGCACCGGCUAACUCCGUGCCAGCAGCCGCGGUAAUACGGAGGUGCGAGCGUUAAUCGGAAUUACUGGGCGUAAAGCGCGCGUAGGUGGCUUGAUAAGCCGGUUGUGAAAGCCCCGGGCUCAACCUGGGAACGGCAUCCGGAACUGUCAAGCUAGAGUGCAGGAGAGGAAGGUAGAAUUCCCGGUGUAGCGGUGAAAUGCGUAGAGAUCGGGAGGAAUACCAGUGGCGAAGGCGGCCUUCUGGACUGACACUGACACUGAGGUGCGAAAGCGUGGGUAGCAAACAGGAUUAGAUACCCCGGUAGUC
Molecule: ribosomal RNA, 464 nt
Filed under: Vreelandella stevensii
Lineage: Bacteria; Pseudomonadati; Pseudomonadota; Gammaproteobacteria; Oceanospirillales; Halomonadaceae
Description: partial 16S ribosomal RNA
Rfam family: Bacterial small subunit ribosomal RNA
Source: RNAcentral